This 1826-nucleotide long non-coding RNA is filed under the name Olea europaea subsp. europaea. Lineage: Eukaryota; Viridiplantae; Streptophyta; Magnoliopsida; Lamiales; Oleaceae. The record is from RNAcentral.
CAAUUACUGAAAAUAAUAUCGAACGGAUAAAUUUAAUAUUGCAAUUUUUUACAAGAGUAUAUAGUUCUUGAAAGUAUUUUCUCUUUCCAUUUGAAGGGAGGAGAGCUUGCUGGAGAAGCGCCGUGAAGGCCUUCAAGCGCAGCAGUUUCAGGGCAGCGUCAACGUCCCUCAGCAGAUGGACAAGAAGGUGAAAACACGCUUACGAUUGAUUCUUCUGUUUUUACUAAACACCAUAGAGCUUUGAUCUACAGGAUUUUAUGAGAUUUUGUUUCGCUGCUAUACCCGAUUGUUGAAGAACAAAUUAGUACUAGUUCAUUAAUGUUCAAUUUCGAAUUUGGCCUGGAAGGUUAAUUUUUUCACUAAUUAUGCUUUUUGAUCGCGAUAUAAAGUUCAUUUUAAUUCAUGAAGAAACGUGAGAUGAGAAUAGUUUGAUUCCGUUUGUCUUUGCUCUAGAUCGAAUAAUACUUCGGUUUUGUGCUAUUGGCUUUUCAUUUUUCAAUCUUUCAGUUAAAAAGUCCACCGGAAAUGAUCGCUGGCGUUUGCUCAAAUGACGGCACACUGCAACUCGAGGCCACAACUCAGUUUCGCAAACUUCUUUCAAUAGGUAAUUCAUUAAUUGUCUUCAUCGAUUCUAUUUAAUUUGAAAUGGACCUUAUUACUGUUUAUUGCUACUUUUUUCUUUCAGCUGAUUCUGUUUGCAUUUUAUUUGUUUUUUGCCUCGGAACGAAAUCCACCAAUUGAGGAACUAAUACAAUCUGGAGUUGUUCCUCGAUUUGUUGAGUUUCUUGCAAGAGAUGGUUACCCACAGAUGCAGGUUUAAAUUUGUGCUAAUAGUUGUUUAUUUCGUGUGUUUCAAUUGCUAAUUUUUUUGGGAUCAUGCAUUGUGUUAUUCCAUUUUCUAGUUUGAGGCAGCCUGGGCUCUUACACAUUGCAUCUGGGACAUCUGAUAACACCAAGUUAGUAAAUAACCAUUAUUUAAUUGCAUCUCAAGUUCCCAUUCUUCAUAUAAUAUAACACACAGUCCUUUAAUUAUAAUAAUAGAAAAUUAAAUCCCUAACUUUCUAUUUUAUUUUAUUUUCGGCCCUUAAGUACUUGUAUUUACGAAUCGGACCCCAUGAAAAUCCUUAUUUGACUUUGAUCAGUUGAAUUUUUUACUUUGAUUAAAUAAAUUCUUGACUUUGAGCAGAAAUGAGUGGGUGUAACAGGGGGGACUCGGAAAAUGUUAUAAAUGUUUAGUGAUACCAAUGAAUUGAAAUUUUUGAUAGUGGAAAUAUGAAGGGAUUGGUCAAUUCUUUGAUGAACCCUUUUUCAACUACGUAUCAGCUGGUGAGAUCUACACUAAUACUCUCAUGAGCAUCUUCAGAUAGUCAAGUUGGCUACCAUCUAAAUAAAACUCUAAUAAGAAUUCUACCGUUGAUGGAUGUAAGCAGUGUUAUCUUUUUCACGAACUCACUUAUCUUCAAUGUUUUUCAAGUUACUAUUGAGGAUGGGGCUCUCCCUUGUCCGCUGAACUAAUUGUUGGACAGUAAUUGUUGAUUUCCUUCAUUUUCUACCAAAUAUUUUAAGGCAUAUUUGGUCACACUAAUGGAGUGGAUCAGACAACUCAAUGGAUAAGAUUUUGAACUUUUUUUCUCCAUUCUACUCUGUUAGAUCUCAAUUUGUUAUUGGUUUUCUCCAUAUCCAAAAUCUAGGUGAGUUGAGUUAUAAUUGAGUUGUAAUUAAAGUCAAAAUAGUUGGGGACCAAGAUGUCCAAGAAGAUCACAUAUGAUCAAUGGGAUGCAAUUAGAAGCCUAAAGAGUUCAAAGAGGUGCACAAGUCAUCUUGCA